This 457-nucleotide ribosomal RNA is filed under the name uncultured Ignavibacteria bacterium. RNAcentral's name for it is "partial 16S ribosomal RNA". It matches the Rfam family "Bacterial small subunit ribosomal RNA", at positions 338 to 794 of the family's 1533-position model. The record is from RNAcentral. Lineage: Bacteria; Pseudomonadati; Ignavibacteriota; Ignavibacteria.
CCUACGGGAGGCAGCAGCGAGGAAUAUUGGGCAAUGCCCGAAAGGGUGACCCAGCAACGCCGCGUGGAGGAUGAAGUCCUUCUGGACGUAAACUCCUUUUAGAGGGGACGAAAAGCCCGAUUUGUCGGGAAUUGACGGUACCCUCAGAAAAAGCACCGGCUAACUACGUGCCAGCAGCCGCGGUAAUACGUAGGGUGCAAGCGUUGUCCGGAUUCACUGGGUGUAAAGGGUGCGCAGGCGGGCUCUUAAGUCAAAGGUAAAAUCUCUCGGCUUAACCGAGAAAUUGCCUUUGAUACUGAGAGCCUUGAGUACGGGAGAGGGAGAUGGAAUUCCAGGUGUAGCGGUGAAAUGCGUAGAUAUCUGGAGGAACACCGGAGGCGAAGGCGGCUCCCUGGCCAUGGCCUGACGCUGAGGUGCGAAAGCCAGGGGAGCGAACGGGAUUAGAUACCCUUGUAGU